CAGUCGGGGGAAAGGUAAACCACAGCCCAAGGAGCAUGGAAAAAAUUAUCAGAGAAACUAGGCGAGGAUGGAAGCAGCACUCAGAGUCAUCUGGUGCUGGGAGCAUCUGCUUGUGUGUACACAGAGGGAAGCAGCACACAGAAAUGGCUCUGAGCAGCCACGCUGGAUGUUUAUUGCAGAGAGGACUGGGACAAAUGAGAACAUCUCCACAUUUUCAGCAGGCUGUGCACAACGUGCGUGACUCUCACAGUGACCACAGACCUCAGGAACAGUGGAUUUUCUUUUCAACACCAGCACUUGAGAGCUUAUGGACAGACCUUUAAAAUUGCACCAAAGGGAAGUGCAGAGACAGCUGAGACUCUUCCAGCUGGAAGCAUUCUCCAACCCUCACUUCCUGACAGAGGCAACGGGAGAUGGAGAUGGCAGAUGAGUCGACACAGUUGGAUUCAAUUGGCCCAUGAAUCCAAACAACCAUCACCAGAAUCCAACCAGCAACCACCUGGGUAAACAAUGUCCAUACCACAUUCCACAUGGGACAAACACAGGCGCAGAUAAUGUAAUUCCCCGUACUAACCAAGCAUUCAAUAGUGCAUCAAAAAAGCGCCUCGAAGUGGAGGAUUGACAAGCUGCUAAUCCAAUCCUCUGCCAGUCACAGGGUGCCGUGUAAAAGGGAUCCUUUGUUCUCCAGGAGCCGCCUGAGUUCCGUUAGUAUCCACAUCCAGAGCCCUGGGCACAAUAUCAAUGCUAAUACCGUUGUUACGGAGAUGGAAAGCCGUUAAGGAUGAACAAUAAUCAGCUCACAAUAUCCUUGGACAUAUUCAUGCAGCUUGUACCGGGGUGAGAUCCGAUAGCUCUAAACCUUUCUGAGGAGAAAACGAAAAUCCAAUUAACAUCUUCCGUGUAACCCUCCCCGGCUACUUUCACUGGAGAUGACCUUGGGCAGCUGUGUUGCCAUUUUGCCAAACCCUCAAUGAUGUCUUUAAUUCGCUGGUGUUGUUGGGCUCUGCCCAAACAGGAGGCCUGGCUCUGCAGCUCACCUCUCACGCUGGGCAAGACUUGCUGACAGAAGUUCCCUCAGCUCACCAGGGUCUGAGCUGAGCUGUGGCACAGACGGAUUUUGGGACUCUCACAUCCUUGGGGAUGUCCAACCCAACCGCGUGCUCUCCACAUCUCUGCUCCUCUGACAAGCAGCCUGCAAUGAGACUGGCAGAUAUUGCAUGACAGUGAACCUCCUCCUGGUAACCUCAUGGCUCAAGGCUUCCAUGGGCACAUCAUCCACCAGGUCUGGUGCUAAUCAGCACCAGCAGGAUCCUGAAGGGAGUGAGAUCUUGAUGGAAAGAAGUGUGCUCAUUCCCAGGCAGCACGGACAGCUGCUGGACAUAAAGCUUUUCCUUCUCUUGGCUGUACAAUCCGCAGGGACAGAGGUAAAAGAUUUGUUACUGGCUGUGCUAAUGCCACGGAGAUGUUCAACAUGAAUUGUAAGUUGUCUUCAACCUGAAUCUUUGUUGCAGCUGCUGUCAACACCACAAGUGAAGAUCCCAAAAUAUAAAGCAUUUUGAACUCUU
Taeniopygia guttata (zebra finch) is the source of this 1565-nucleotide long non-coding RNA. RefSeq lists it as uncharacterized. The record is from RefSeq and is a predicted model, not a curated record. NCBI's taxonomy places the organism in Eukaryota, Metazoa, Chordata, Aves, Passeriformes, Estrildidae.